UUGUGUUCGUGGUAUCUGUAGUAGGAAAAACGGAAGGAAAAGUUGAAGAGGAGGUCGGAUUCCUGAUUGUUGACAUGAAUUCUACAUUUUCUUCAGAAAUGCGGUGCAUGGCGCGGAGUGUGGUGGCGUGCAACAGUCGUCUUCGAAGCUUCGUCCGUUUGGCACGUGUUUGCAACAGACGUGUUCGUGUACUUGCUUAGGGAUCGGCCGAUAGGAGAAUAUACCGAACAUCGCCGAGCGUUGCCGAAGUGCCGACCGGUCUCCGAGGGGAAGGAAGGUCUCGCCAUUGCUCUCUCGAGCGUCGAACAGGCAAGACGUGUCAGAGCAUCCUUCCGUAUAAGUAGUAGAUAUUUGAUGGAUAUUGAAAGGACGCCAUGACACCUAAUAUGGGAUUGAAAUAGAAUUUCGUAACAAUUUAUUGUUUUAAUUUAUUCUAAUCAAUUGUUAACAUUUAUUAUUACU
This is a long non-coding RNA of Osmia bicornis bicornis, 462 nucleotides long. RefSeq lists it as uncharacterized. The record is from RefSeq and is a predicted model, not a curated record. NCBI's taxonomy places the organism in Eukaryota, Metazoa, Arthropoda, Insecta, Hymenoptera, Megachilidae. The transcript has 4 exons.